Molecule: ribosomal RNA, 780 nt
Filed under: uncultured bacterium
Lineage: Bacteria
Description: bacterial SSU rRNA
Rfam family: Bacterial small subunit ribosomal RNA
Source: RNAcentral
AGAGUUUGAUCCUGGCUCAGGAUGAACGCUAGCGGCAGGCCUAAUACAUGCAAGUCGAACGGUCCUAGCAAUAGGAUAGUGGCGCACGGGUGCGUAACGCGUAACCAACCUACCUGGAUCUGGGGGAUAGCCCGCCGAAAGGCGGAUUAAUACCGCAUAAGCUAAGUGAUCGGCAUCGGUUGCUUCGUAAAGAUUUAUUGGAUUCAGAUGGGGUUGCGUAGCAUUAGCUAGAUGGCGGGGUAACGGCCCACCAUGGCGACGAUGCUUAGGGGACCUGAGAGGGUGAUCCCCCACACUGGCACUGAGAUACGGGCCAGACUCCUACGGGAGGCAGCAGUAGGGAAUAUUGGGCAAUGGGCGAGAGCCUGACCCAGCCAUGCCGCGUGCCGGAUGAAGGCCUUCUGGGUUGUAAACGGCUUUUCUCAGGGAAGAAAAAGAGGAUGCGUCCUAAACUGACGGUACCUGAGGAAUAAGCACCGGCUAACUCCGUGCCAGCAGCCGCGGUAAUACGGAGGGUGCAAGCGUUGUCCGGAUUUAUUGGGUUUAAAGGGUGCGUAGGUGGCUUGUUAAGUCCGGGGUGAAAGCCCACAGCUCAACUGUGGAACUGCCCUGGAUACUGGCAAGCUUGAGAGUAGUCGAGGGUGGCGGAAUGGACGGUGUAGCGGUGAAAUGCAUAGAUACCGUCCAGAACCCCAAUUGCGUAGGCAGCUGCCUAGGCUACAUCUGACACUGAGGCACGAAAGCGUGGGGAGCGAACAGGAUUAGAUACCCUAGUAGUCC